CAAAUAUGACUAUAUGGGCUUC
This 22-nucleotide non-coding RNA is filed under the name Arabidopsis thaliana (thale cress). Lineage: Eukaryota; Viridiplantae; Streptophyta; Magnoliopsida; Brassicales; Brassicaceae. The record is from RNAcentral.